This 209-nucleotide long non-coding RNA is filed under the name Ananas comosus (pineapple). RNAcentral's name for it is "long non-coding RNA (ACOM_LNC020904)". Lineage: Eukaryota; Viridiplantae; Streptophyta; Magnoliopsida; Poales; Bromeliaceae. The record is from RNAcentral.
GCAGGUAUAGUAAAAUAUUUAUUUUUAAAAAAAAUUUAAAAAUUUUAGUAUGAAAUUUUAAAAUAUAAAUAAAAAAUAUUUUCAUUUAAAUUAGUAUUUUAAUUAAAAUAUUAAAAAAUUAUAAAAAUAAUUAUACUAAAGUAAAUAUUUGAUUUUUAAAAAAAAUAAAUAAAUUUAUAUUAUUUUUUUGAAAAAAAAUAAAAUGAGAU